Molecule: non-coding RNA, 1583 nt
Organism: Oryctolagus cuniculus (rabbit)
Lineage: Eukaryota; Metazoa; Chordata; Mammalia; Lagomorpha; Leporidae
Source: RefSeq, a predicted model, not a curated record
CCAGGGCCAGGGAGUCAGGACUGCCGCCUGGGGCCCAGCAGCGUCUUCCGACCCGAGGAAGAGGCGUCCCCACACUGGUGCCAGCCCUUUGGGAGGCGGGGCCCGGAGCGCCCACGGGCGGGCGGGAGGCCCGAGGUCCACAUCGGGCCGGCACAGAGACUCAGCAUCUUCUCCGACCUAGGGGACCCACUCUGUGCCCGGAUGCUCACCCAAGACAGAGUUACAGAGAGAAGUAGAGACAGAGAGAGAAGAGGUCUUUCAUCCGUUGGCUCACUCCCCAGAUGGCCACAACGACCAGAGCUGCGUGGAUCCGAAGCCAGAAGCCAGGAGUCUCUUCCAGUUCUCCCACUUCCAUCUUCCACAAACUCCCUGAGGUGCCUCCGUAGGCCCUGCUCCGCGGCAGCCAGAAGCGGACACCUGUGCAGUCCUAAGGACUUGGCCCUGCCAGGAUCCAGUUCCAGCUGACUGCUCCAGCUCCACCCUGCCAGGACCAGGGUCUCUGCCCUGGGCACCUGCUCACCCUCCGGGCGGGGCUCCACUCCCAUCCAGUGAAGUCUGUGGCCUGGAAGCUGCUUCUAGAACGGCUACCCAGAGUCCAGGCUGGGCAGGAUGCUGGGGGCCUGGGUUUGCAGAGCCCCCUGCCAGGCCUGGCUCUCCCUGCUGACCAGCUUCUCCCACCAGGCACAGCUCUAGAACGCCUACUGCGCCACGCCAAGCUCAACGUUCAGUGCUUAGCAGCCGGCGUCUCACUUCUUCCUGCAGGCACGCUGGCUGACGAGCAGAGUUACGUUUGUUUUACAGAUGAGGGAGUGAAAGUCCCGGGGGGCCGGUCAGAAUCCGUGCCCACCGCAUCUGUGGAUGUCUGAGUUGGCGCUCACGCCAGACUGAGCAGCACAAGAGUGGGGAGCGUGGCUCCGUGUGCAUCUCUGCCUUCCUCCCGUGCCCGUGCCUGGCUCGAAAAGGAAGGUGGGAACAAAGCUGGAAGAAAUAAACGGAGCUUCGGGUCCCUGGUAGCCAAAGCUGCAGAGUCUUCUCCUGGAGUCCUUGGUGGUCCCCGCUCGCAGCCCCGCUGGUGCGGGAAGUCGCUCAUCCAGCUGACACCUGGCACCUGCCACGCGCCGAGCUUCUGGCUUAGCUCCCUGCAACAGGGGGUGAUUUUGGCAAUUUUGGGCUGACUUGGCGCCCUUGGCCAGGGUCUAGGGACCCAUCAGGAGCAGAGGAGUAGAGGAGGCCAGGCAAGGAGAACACAGGUCUACAAGUGCAUGAUUGCUUUCUUAGGGGAAGGAGCCAUGCGUGGUGUCCCUCAGGGUCUCACAGAGGGCUGGGACUUCCCAAAGGUCAGAUGACCUGGGCCUGGGCAUCGCUUGCCUGGUCUGCCCCCCAACAGGCCUCCCUCCGUGGAAAGGGGCUUCCGGAACCACCCACAGUUUCUUGGGGUGGCAGAAGUGGCCGGGAUGUGAAGGGGGACCCUCUGCCACACCCUGAGCAGGGGGCCGUGGGUGCUCUAGCAAGCCCUGCAUGGCUGGGGAGGGGUGCCAGUGCUAGUGGUCUCAGCCUCGCCCCGUCUGGCCCGCUAAGGGAAA